Molecule: non-coding RNA, 287 nt
Organism: Theobroma cacao (cacao)
Lineage: Eukaryota; Viridiplantae; Streptophyta; Magnoliopsida; Malvales; Malvaceae
Source: RefSeq, a predicted model, not a curated record
AAGUGUGGAAAAUCAAGGAAAACAAGUGAAAAAGGUGGUGAGUCCUCCGAUAUAGGCAAGAAAAUUGCAUCCGAGGACUAGUAGUCAGAGUACCUCAAAAAUCUGCACUCUAGAAUUAUAAGUGAUCAGCCUAGCAUGCAUUCAUCGGCAUCUAUUGUCUACUGUGGAUAGGUAAAGGCAUCUCAUAGCAUUUUAUCCCAAGUCGCUUUGCUGCUAGAGGUCGAGUCAUUUGUAAUGUAUUUUAUUUUCGUAAAUGGACACUAGUCUCAAUAUAAAUGUACAAUUGG